Molecule: ribosomal RNA, 425 nt
Filed under: uncultured bacterium
Lineage: Bacteria
Description: bacterial SSU rRNA
Rfam family: Bacterial small subunit ribosomal RNA
Source: RNAcentral
GAAUCUUGGACAAUGGGCGCAAGCCUGAUCCAGCCAUGCCGCGUGUGUGAAGAAGGUCUUCGGAUUGUAAAGCACUUUAAGUUGGGAGGAAGGGUUGUAACCUAAUACGUUGCAACUUUGACGUUACCGACAGAAUAAGCACCGGCUAACUUCGUGCCAGCAGCCGCGGUAAUACGAAGGGUGCAAGCGUUAAGCGGAAUUACUGGGCGUAAAGCGCGCGUAGGUGGUUUGAUAAGUUGGAUGUGAAAGCCCCGGGCUCAACCUGGGAAUUGCAUCCAAAACUGUCUGACUAGAGUACGGUAGAGGGUGUUGGAAUUUCCUGUGUAGCGGUGAAAUGCGUAGAUAUAGGAAGGAACACCAGUGGCGAGGGCGACCACCUGGACUGAUACUGACACUGAGGUGCGAAAGCGUGGGGAGCAAACAGG